GAAAUGACAGGAAGCUGUUUCCGCGCUGGAUGGUCAGCCUUGAGGGCCACAUCAUAUGUGAGGGGAUCCAGCCCACCUUCUUGACCUGGCUUGCCGCAUUAUUUUCCAGCUUCUACACCUUUAAUCUCCAAUACCAAGAAGAGGCAGCAUGCACACUCAAAUUCAUCCAAAGGCACUUCGUUGGAAUAAACUGUGAGAGAGGCACCAAGGCUGGACGGGGUAAAGUGUUAUCAAAGAAAACUGGCGAAGUCACCAACAAAAAGACAACAACAGUCAAUCCACAUGUAUCCGCUGCUCAGGAGACUCAUCGACUUUGAGUGGGACUGCAUUUAAAAUG
This is a long non-coding RNA of Anguilla rostrata (American eel), 337 nucleotides long. RefSeq lists it as uncharacterized. Lineage: Eukaryota; Metazoa; Chordata; Actinopteri; Anguilliformes; Anguillidae. The record is from RefSeq and is a predicted model, not a curated record. The transcript is spliced from 2 exons.